AAAGAAUCAUUAAGAUAUACGGAACCACCAAAAUGAAACAGCAAACUUUCGAGGGAUUUCCCGUUUCCUUCUUCAGAACAACAAAAAGAAUAGACCCACAUUCAACAUCGUCACUUCUGUGGUUCUAUGUCAUCAGUUUCUGCAACAUGGAUGACUGUGGAUGGUAGAAGAGGAAAUAUUCGCGUUUCUGAUAUCCACCCAAACCCAAGAGCCGUGUCAUCACACUUCAAUCAACAAGAAACGGAUGAGUCCAACCCCCGCUACGUGAAGAACCAUUCAGCAAUCAACAACAUCGAUCAAAGGCUGCUAUAUCCACACAGAACUUUUCAAUCCUGACACGACGAAAAGUAGAUAUUUGACUUGGAAAUAACGUUCUCUAAAUUAAAUUUUUGAAAGAAAAUUAAGCUUAAGUAAUCGCCUGAGGUGGAACAACUCCCCUGAAUCCAUAGAUACUUAUAAUUCCAUAAAUUUUAAAUCGAAGGAACCUGUGGAGUAUUUUUGUUCUGCUUUGAAUAAUUAAUUGGUGUAGCUGAACUUAAAUUGACACCCAAUAUUUUUACACUCUGAAGUCGGCAAUGUGAUGAAAUAAAUUAUCAAAUGUGAUGGAAACAUUAAUGAAAUAAGUAAUGAAAGUAGUGAUUAUGUAGACAAUCGAUUAACUGAUAAAAUAAGACGUGAAAUUAGAAAUGAAAUUAGUCAUAAAGUAAAUAAUGAAACAUGUAUAAUUAAACAGAUCAUGAAAUAAAUAAUAAAAUGAGUGGUGAAAUAAAUAAUGAAAGGAAUGUUAAUGAUUACUCAAGAUACGAAAUAAGUCGUCCAGAACCUAAAGCUCUUUAACGUGUAAACUUAACAAGCUAAAAGAACCUAAGCAUAUGUACUAACGUGUUCAGUAAUAAAAUAAGCAGUAAGCAUACAAAUCGCAGACAGACUGGAUUCUGGCAAGAUGGCUUCCAGUACAGAAAGACCGUCUGGAUUUUCUCCCUACGGCUCCAAGACUAAACAAGCUGAAGUUCGCCCUGACCACGUUUCUCAAAGAUUACAAAAGAAUUUUGCUGCAGAAUCGAGAUCCAGAACAAGUUCAGCUUACAGAUGAACUACAAGAGUAUUUCUCUCUAGGCCAAGACAUCUUUGUAAGUAUAACGUCACAGUACUAA
This is a long non-coding RNA of Aplysia californica (California sea hare), 1154 nucleotides long. RefSeq lists it as uncharacterized. Lineage: Eukaryota; Metazoa; Mollusca; Gastropoda; Aplysiida; Aplysiidae. The record is from RefSeq and is a predicted model, not a curated record.